CCGACGAUUCUGGCGUCGAUGAGGAACCCAUGGUCUAUAGCGCGUCAUCCGUAGUCCGUUGUACCUUACCGGCGAAAUCUCCAGAUCGAAAUCAAGAGAGUUCGUGGCAGGGAAAAGCUUAUGUGGGACGCUACCGGUAAGAGCUCUAUCGGCAGUGUGGCGACGUGGAGUGAAGAAUGAGGUUUUCGACGGGGAAUGAGAAAAGUCGGCGGUUAGUUCUUGACAAUUGGAGACGCAUGAGGUUCUGUUACGGCCCGUGUUUUGAUGGGGAGGCAGAGCCGGUCCGGAGGGCAAGCAAGUGAAGCCAUCGCUUAGGGUCUCACAUUAUAAAAUUUUUUUUUUGGGAGAAUUUUUUUUUUUACAUUAACAAAAAGGCCUAAAUUUUUAGUUAUGCGUAGGGUAUCAAAGAAAAUUUUGAAACUUUGGACCGGCCCUGUGGGAAGGUCUACGGCCGGUAAGGCAAAGCUAUGCAACCGUCGAUGGUUGUCUUCUUCUACUCCCUACUACUUUAUCUCUCUCACGACUGAACUGUAGUUUUUCGAUGGUACGGUUUUGAUCGGUUCUUCUUCUUUCUCUUCAUAGCUCUAUGGUUGCGGGAUGGCGAUGGUCCAGUGUCUUCUACGUUCGACUCCCAUCUUCCUGGCUCACCGGUGGUCCUGUUUCGGCGAGUAUCCGCUGAUUCGUGGGAAGGCGGCUCGAACGGUUUUCCGAUAGAAGAUUAGGGUUUAUGUGUUCUUGGUUUAAAUCGGUUAUCUGCUAAGUUAGAUUGGUUUUAUUUUCGGAUCGGUUUUGGUUUGGUUUCCUGGUUUGGAUGGUGUAAUUGGAUUGGAUCCUAAGAGCAUGAUUAUGGGUGGGUUCUUAGUAUUUGCUCUUAGCAAUAUUUAAAUAAUUUAUUUGUAAAAGUGAUUGUUAAGAGAUAAUAUUUUUGAGUUAAGAUUUUUGUGUGAUUAAUGGUAGGCUCUUAACAUGUGGUUCUUAAAAAAAAAUUAAUAUAAAACAAAAAUUCAUAAUUAUAGAAAAUUUAAUAAUUGUUACAAAUUAAAAAAAUUAUAACAUACAUGAGAUACAAUUUAUAACAUACAUAACAUAAAGCAUAAAUGUUUUAAACUUAAGGGUAUUGCUGUUUGGCCUAUUCCGAAAAUAGCCCAAUUGACAUAUGUUUUUAAUAAAAUUGUAAGCUUUUACAAAAGAAAAAUAAAAAAUAAUAGAAAAAGUAUCUCAUAUUUAAAGAUAUUUUUUUUAACAAAAAUGAGGAGAUAAUAAAUUAAACUAAAUUUAAGUAAAUAAAAUGAAAAGGACAGAUAACAAUAAGUCAUUAAAAUAUAAUAAAAUAUGUGAUAUUAAAUAAAAACAGUUAAUAGUGAUCCAGUUUAAUAUGAUUUGAAAGGAUACAUCCAAAAUAUUAGUUACUAUUAGAAUUGAAUGAAAUUAAAACGAUAGGAUCUGAAAAGAUUUGUUAUUCAUCAAUCAGUAAAUUAUACUAACAUAUAUGACAAACCUUUAAUUUAAAAAGCAUAUAUGUCUAGCACUUACUAUUAUCUAGUUUUGAUUCUGAAAUUGUUAAAAAUAUCCCUUUUGGUGUGCCAUUUUUCAAAAAUGCCCCUUUUAGAUGUCCAUUUUAAAAAAUGCCCCUUUUAGAUGUACAUUUUAAAAAAUGCCCCUUUUUAAAUCUAAAUUUUUUAUAAAGUUUUAUUAGGUUUAUAAGGUACUUAUGGAUUGUAACUACUACUUGAAGACUCGAUCCAAGUAUUUAUAAGGUUUUAUAAGGUGUUUUUAAAGGUUUUACAAGUUAUUUUAAAGGAUUUUUAAGGUUUUUCAAAGGUUUUACAAGAUAUUUUAAAGGUUCUUAAAGGUAUUUAAAAUGCAUUUAUAAGGUAUUUAUAAAGUAUUUAUAAGAUUUUAGAAACAUAGAAAUGUAGUUUGUGUAUGUUUUAAUAAUAUUACAUACAUAUUUGGGUAAAUCUUAUAUUUUUAAGAGCAUUUUCAUAAGGUUUUAAAAAAGGGGUACUUUUGAAAAGUGGCAUUGAAAAAGUGGCAUUUUUGCAAAAGCCUUCAUUUUUUCUCGUAUAACCUAAUUUUGAAAAAAAUAUAUAUACAAUUGGAACGAUUUCUCUCAUCUUAAUAUUCGAUCAUUAUAACAUCUCACCGAAAAAAUACUCUCUACAGCAAUAUAACGAUAAGAUUAUUUCUACAAUGAUGUUAUAUGAACUAGGAUAUGACCCGCGGUGUACCGCGGGUUAAUUAUUUGAUUUUAAUCUUUUUAUAAACUGAUGAAUUUGUUGUAUAUAAUAUUUUUUUGUUGUACACCGCGGGUCACAUGCGUUGUAACUAAAAAUAGAAAUUUUAAGUUGUAUUUGUUUUGUUUAGUGUUUAAAAUUGUAUAAUUGUAUUUUGAUUUGUUAAUCCUACUAUUUCACCCGUGAUAUAUUGUCCCGUAUUAAUAUCAAUCCAAACCCGUCCCACCAUAUAAUCCAUUCCCGUAAAAUUAAACAUCAUUUUGUUAUUUCUUUUAAUAACGCUUUUAUUUAAAAGACAUAUAAUUCAAGUCAAUUUAAAAGUUUGCUUUCAAAUGGAUUCCAUAAUAUAUAUAUUUAAAUUAGUGUGGGUUUUUGUACCAACCCGUAAAAAUAAUUUAUAAUUGUAUCUUAAAAUACUAAAUAAUUGUAUUUUGAUUUGUUAAUUUUAGGAUUUCAACCGUGGUAUAUUGUUCCCUUUUGGAUAAUUGUAAAAAUUAAGGAAAUAUCCGAAUGACUCAUUUCCGGGACAGAGUAAAAAAAAAAUAUGACCUGAUUAAACGCGCAAAUUUGUUCUUAAAAAAUAUUAAUAUAGAUUGUACACAUACUUUUUUCUUUAUCGAUUGAGUAAUAUAUGUCUGUUUUAAAAAAUUUAAAUCAUAGCGUAUUGCAAAAAAAAACGGAAAUUUUAUUAACUAUAUAAAUUUUAUAAUAAUUCAAAAUAAUAUAAAUAUAAGAUCAUAUAAAAGUGAAAUAAGAAUCAUAUAUUUAUGUUUAAAUUAGGUAGAGAAGUUUUAGGAAAUUAGCUCAAAUUUGUUAUAUUAGCAUUAAAUCAUCAUAUUUGAUUUCCUUAUCUAUAAAAAUCAUAGAGAAUAUGCCAUAAAUAAAGAGUUCAUGUAUAGUAAUUAGUUGAAUAUAUAUAUAUAUAUAUUUUUAGAUUUUAUUAAAUAAUUUUGUUUUAAAAUUUUGCCAACAUUUAAGGGAAGAUCCAAUUGAAGAUUUCCGGGUCAAAAUUGAAACAAAAUUCGACCCGAUUAGGAUCCCUUAAAAGUGUUGCAAAAAUGUAUAGUAGAUGUUAAAAAUUCUCAAGAAGAACAACGAUAUUAUUAACCAAGUGGUAACGGUCCGUGAUUUCUAUUUGAGAAGUUCUCUAUUGGGGCAGAAAUCGAUUCCCAUAAAACGUGAAAGUAUAUAAUCACUAGAUUUUAACCCGCGGUACAUCGUGGGAUGAUUUAAUUUUAAAGUUAAUAUAAAAGUAUUUUGUAAAUUGUAUCUCUUUAUAACAUAUUUAUUUAUAUUAUAGUUUACAAUUGUUAUUAAGUAACGGUAUACCACGAGUCUACGAGACAACUAUUAAUAAACUGAAGAUUUAACCCGUAUUAAAGUGGUAUAUAAAUAUUGAUUCAAAUUCGUCCGCCAUAUAAAUCCUUUCUAAAAUAUAACCCGUUCCAUAAUUUCUUAACCCGUCCCGUGAUUUUUUUUUAUUUUAAAAUUUAAUGAUUAUUUAUUAUUUAUAAAAUUUUACAAUACAUAUCAUUCUCUAAGACAUUUAUAUUUUAAUAAACUAAAGAUUUCAUAUGUUUUAAAGCGGCAUGUUAAUGAUAUUUUAAAAUUUUAUAAAUAUUGUUAUUAAGUAACAUUAUACCACGGGACAAUUUUUGGUUUUAUACAAUCUUUUCUAAAUGAGACUGAUUUAAUAUGUCUAAUAUUUGUGGUAUUAAAACAAAAGAUUUAAUCCGUAUUGAAGCGGCGGAUUAAUGAUAUUUUAAUCUUUUUAUUAUUGUUGAUUCAAAAACCCGUCCCGCCAAACCCGUCCGGCCAAAAAACUCAUUUAUUUUGUUAAUGUUCUUAUUUAUGAUAUGAUUCUGAAUCAUUGUCUAAAUAUUUUAAUCGAUGUAAAACGUUGAACACACAUUUUCGUUAACUGGAUAAUAUAUGUCCGUUUUUUAAAUUUCGAAUCACAGUAUAUGCAGAAAAAAAUUGAAUUUUUUUUUUUACUUUAUGUAUUAUCUGAUGAUUCAAAACAGUUAAAAACAAAUCAAACAAAGAUGAUAGGAGAAUCAUAAUUAUAAAUCUUAAUCAAAUCUUCUAAAUAUCUAAAUUAUUAAAUAUGGAAUAUCCGGUGUAUGAGUUGGGUUAAAUAUAACCCGAUCCAACAAAUUUUUUGUGAAAGAAUUUUGAAAACGGGUCAGAUAUCCGAUAUACCCGGAAAUAUUUUUACCCACCCGUCAUCAAAGUAUUGCAAAAAUACUAGUAUAGAUAUUCUUAUUUGGUCAGCCAAAAUAGUGUCAUAUCAUUAAAAAAACCCGGUGAAUAGAUUACUCGACGGGUACAAUCACCCAACAAAAUUAGUUGGAUAUAUAGUAAGAACCCGGAUCACCACUGGUUAAAAAAACAACAACGUAGUAAAUCAUUUCUUCUUUCUUCUUUUUAGCUACGAUUCAACAGAAAUACAUGUGAGGACUAACAAAAUAUUCUUAGAACAUGUUACACCACACUAGCAUAGUUACGUUAAUCCAACUUUGAAGCUCAAAAAAAAGCUUUUGAACAUUGUCUACAAAGUCAAUAUGAAAGAAUAAUAAUUUAAAAGGAUCAUUAAAAAUAAUUUUGACAAAUAAUUUGGUAAUGUGAAUAGUUAGUUAUUCGAUCUUCCUAGAAUAGUGGAAACGUUUAGUAGGAGAAAGAGGGCAAAAGUCUUUGAAUGGCUAUUACAUUUCCAAUAAUGUCUUCAACAAAAUAAACCAAACAACACUCGCCAAUGAUUGCUCCAUAGUUGUUAGUAAUGAUUUGUUUAUUAAAGUUGAUAAUAAUUAACAAAUCAAUGAUCACGUUACUAAAAAUAAAUAAAGCAAUGACCCGAUGGCUCCUUUUUAAAACAAAACGCCGGAUAUUUUAAGUGGUUUUCAGUUUUCUUGUUGACAAUGACUAUACUAAUAAUAAUAUAUAUUUCGAAAACAGUGUACUCAAACUGCCGCCAUAUAAACAAAAAUCUUAAACAGUGUAAACAAACUUAAAACUCUCCUCAUUUGCGUUCAUAAUUAAAAAAAAAAAAAAAAGGUUGUAACAUAAUCUUGAAAUACUAGUCCAUCAUAAAAAAAAACAUUUUAGCCAAAAAAAAAAAUUAAAUCUAAAUAAACAGUUGAGAUCCUGAUCUCAAAUGAAAUGAAAAAAUUAAGUUAUCUAGGACAAUAUUCAUAGUUUUCAAAAAAAAAAAAAAAAAAAAAAAAGGACAAUAUUCAUAUGAUUAAUGUCUAUACUAUAAAAUAUAAAAUAGAAAUUAUCUGUUGUGAUUUUGAUAAAUAUGGAAAACUAUAUUAUAAUAUGUAAUUUUUUUAGUAGAGAUGUAGUUUUAUACUUUUUCAAUAUUAUAGUAUAUCAUAUUUUCAAUCAUAUAAUAUUAAAUUAGGACCCACCCGAUGUACGGGUUUUUGAUUUUUAUUAUAAUAUUAAAUUUAACAAACCGAAUUAAAUGUUUCUCGUAGUUGAAUGUUAUUUAGAAAUAUUUUUAAAAAAUAAUAGAAAAUAAUUUACUUAAUAAAAAAUUUAUGUACAUACUCCUUAUGUGGGUGUAAUUUCUAAAGUAAUACCAGUUUUUAAAAUGCAUUAAAAUUUAUAAAGUAAAACGUAACAAUUAUAUUCUAACAUCCUCACUAAAUUCAUUCUUUUCUUUUUUUUUUUUUUUUUUUUUUUUUUUUCUGUUUUCACUUGCGAAUAAAAUUACAAUACACCCAUAAAUACAAUUUGUAUCCAACUAAAUUAAUGUUAAAUAACUUAUAUUGUUCUUUUGAACUUCAAUGAUCAUUUUUUUUGGUUCGUAUCCAUGCUGAAUAAAUUAAAACUUUUUGAUAGAUGUCAAAAAUCGACCAAUAAAAGUUUAUUGAUAGAUGUAAGAACUAAACACUUUGGAAUUCACUGUAUUUAUAUCCAAAAUCUUCAAUAUAUAUAUAUUUUUUUUGUCGUCUAGAUUUAUUAUUAAUUGCAAAUUGUGAGAACUGUUACAUAGACGAUUCUACAACUGACAAUUCAUUCUGACCCUUACUAGAUCCACGACAGACUACACUUCCUUCUUCAUGAUCUUGAUGAAUAUCUUCAAUGAUCCACGACCUGGCCAAACUUCCUUCUCUGCGUAGAAUCCUGGCGAACGGCUAUAAUUGUACAUCGCUGGAGAUCUCCUGCACACUUGCCUCCAUUAAUCUACAAAUUUGUUAAUAAAUCGCAAUAUCUGGGACUCGAACCCCAGACCUCUUGGUGUAGAAGCAUUAAUCAACCUUUAGUCAACCAAUGGGUCAAGGGGGCUUCCACCUUCAGUAUUGUUUUAGUAACAAAAUAAUUGAAGUAAAAAAAAAACUAAUUUUUGUUUUGCGUGUUUUGGAAUUGGAAAAUCAAAAAUUUCAAAAAGAAAGAAAUCAAGAAAGUGAUGAACAUACUAAAACGGAAGCAAAACAUUCGUCAGUAAGAAAAAUAAAUUUGGGCCUACCUCAAAUUCAAUUUGAGUUCCUAUCUCCAAAUUUGGGCUUUCAUUAUUAUGAAACGAAGAAGCCCAAAGUUGGACCUAUUUUAUAAACACUGAAAACAUUCGUACUCAAAAGUGAAAUUUUGAAAUUUUGAGGACUCUUUGUCAAUUUUCAUGGAUUCUUCUUCUCUCUUUGGGCUGAAGAAACAGAAUUUGAAAUGCUAUAUAUAUACUAAACAAGACAAAGUCCAAAGAACUCUUUGUGUUUUUGAACUGGAAAAUCAAAAAUUUCAAGAAGUAAGAAAGAAAUGAAGAGAGUGAUGAAAUUCUUUAAGCGGAAGUCUGAUCCUAAGCAAAAGCUUCGAGAUUGGCAACGAAAGCUACGUCAAGAAGUCCGUAACAUUGAACGCCAAAUUCGAGGUUCUUGUUGCUUUUUUCUUGUAUUGAUCAGAUUCUUAGGAAAGUUUCGAACGUUGAGGAAUUUUAUUAGUUAUAUUUAUGAUUUAGGUUGAUGGGUAUCUUUGAUUUAAAGGGUUUUAGAUUAAAGAUCCAACUUUUGAGAAUUUGUUCUUCAUUGGAGUUUCAAAAUAUCGAUUUUUUCUUGUAUUGAUCAGAUUCUUAGGAAAGUUUCGAACUUUGCGGAAUUUGGUUAGUUAUAUGAUGAUUUAGAUUGAUGGGUAUCUUCCAAUUAAAGGGUUUUGGAUUAAAGAUCCAAUUUUUGAGAAUUUGUUCUUCAUUGGAGUUAUGAUCGAAUGAUGAUGACUAUUAAAGUGUGUUCCUUUCUUACGAAAUUGCUUCAAUUUGAUCAUUUGGGUUUGGGUUUAGGGUUUAGGGUUUGUGGAUUAGGGUUUUUACUUAGUGAGAGUUCAUUUUUCAGAUAUUGAGAGAGAAGAAAGAAAUGUACAUAAAGCUAUCAAAGACUCGGUGAAGCGGUAUGAUAUGGUCACUGCUAAGGUAAAGUAUGAAACUUUCUUAGCAAAUCUGAGCAAUGGUGGAAGAAAUUGGAGUUUUAAAGUGUAAAGGCUCUGUUUCUCUGUUUUGUGUUAAGGCACUUGUUAGGGAAAUAGUGAGAUCGAGAAGAACGGUUAAGCGGUUAUACGAGAAUAAAGCGAAGAUGAAUUCAAUAUCAAUGCAUCUUGGAGAGAGUAUUGGUAAUGAUCAAAAGCUUUACUUGGUGUUUUUCAUUGUUGUUAUAUGAUGUGGUUUUUAGAUUGUUGUUUACAUUUGUUUUCGUGUUGCAGCGAUUUCGGGAACAGUUGGGCUUCUUUCGAAGAGCGGUGAGGUUAUGAAGCUUGUUAAUAGUCUAAUGAAAGCUCCAGAUAUGGCUGUGACAAUGCAGGCAUUUAGCAAAGAGAUGACCAAGGUAGUUAAUUUAUGCAUAAGUGCAACGUUAUCUCUACGAACUAAGCUCUUGUCUACCGCUUAUCUAAUGUGAAGAUUUAUGUAGGCUGGGGUUAUUGAAGAGUUUGUAAGUGAUGCGGUUGAUAAUGCCUUAGAUUCUGAGGAUAUCGAAGAGGAGAUCGAGGAAGAGGUUGAUAUGGUAUGGACUGCCAUAGCAGGAGAGACUGCAGCUGAGCUCCCAGAAGCAGUUAGGAAGGAAAAGAUAAAUGUACUAGCGCAAAAGGCGGGAACUUCACACGGGGUAAGAGCUCUAGCAGUUGAAUGAUUGCAAGUACAUGAAAAAAGAUGGGAUAGUUACAUAUUGGGAGAUCAAAUAUGAAAAGGAGAAGUAUACUGUAUUGCAGGAAGAUGCAAUUGCACAAGGAGUUGAUAAUGAAGACGAACUAGAGGACAUUAGAGCUCGGCUCGCCAAUGUUAGAUUUUGACUGAUAUAUACUGGAUCAUACUUGUGAGUCUUUUCUUAGAACCAUUUUUUAUUCUUGGUCGAUAUCUGAACUGGACUGAAGUGAUGAAAACAGGGAAAGAUCAAAGCUUUUGGUCAGUGAUUGUGCCAUUUGUAUAGAUACUAAAGAAAGUUGAGUUUUAGUUUUAGCUUCAGUGUUUGUUUGGUUUGGUUCUUUGGAAAGUUUUUGGAUUUGGAGUAGGAAACUCAUUCGGUUCUGGUUCGUCUUGAUUUGAUUUAGUCCGGUUCGAUUAAAUUUGGUUAAAAUUUGAUAUAUUUUGUUUAUUGAUUUGGCUAUAUACUAAUUGCAUCAUCAUUUCAAAACCAGAUGAUAUUUUUAGUCAUUCCUCUGGCAUUUCCCUUUGAUAACUGAUAAGUGAUAUGCAGUUCCCUUUGUUACAAAAUCAUAUCCCAUUUUAAGAAAUUAGAGUAGAUACCAUUAGUAGCGAAGUAAAGGUGUUUAAUUGGUUUAUAUUUUAUAAUAUAAAAUACUACGUAUUUGGGUUUAGACGAUUGGUGUGUAAUAAGUUGUACACACAAACACAAUUAAGAUGUCAAGGUCUUAAAUUUUCAGUCUCUAAUAAAUUAUGGACUAAGAAUCACAUGUCAUCGGUGGAGGAGUAUAUUAAGCAUGAAGGAAUGACGAUUUUUUGUCCAAUUUAGAUGGUCAUUCUAUAAUUUUUUUUUUUUUAAACGUUCUUAUUAUCAUUCAUUACAUUUUCUAAAUAUUAAUUCAAUAUCUUUAUUAGUAUCAAAAUAUCCAUUCAGCAAAUUACCUGGGAUCAUAAUAUUUUUCCUAGGUGUAUUCGUGAAUAUAUAAGUGUAUCUAUACAUUAACUCAUUAAGUGUGAUUUUUUAAAUUCAUUCUAUGCAACUAAGUAUAUACAUAAAUACUUGGUUGCAUAGAAUGUAUAUAAGUAAAAUACAGAAUUAUCAUGUAUCUUGGAUUUGUGAAAGACAAAAUUUCUUCGAGGAAAUGUCAUGUUUCUGUUGUGGUCUAAAUUUAAUAUUCUAGUAGGCACAAAUUGUGCAUAAAGCAAAGGUGUUAUAUUGAUGAUAUAAAAAAAAAAUGACGUUACAUAAAAUAUAAAAUUAUUAUAAAAUAUAGAUUACCGAAAUUUGGACCUGUCAGUUUCAUUUUUAUUCUAAAAUUUGACCAAUAAAAAAACUGAAGACGAAGCAUACUGCAGAAUGUAGUUGAUCGUUUUUUUCUUAAAUAUUGCUUCGUUUUAUUUAUAAUCCAAAAUUACCCUAUUUGUCGAUUGUUUGGAAAACCAAUAAAAUAUAAUGGGUAAUUAAUCUACUUUAUAUUUUUUUUUCUUAAAUAAAUGAGUGAAUAAGUGAAAUACAUAAUAUGUGAAUUAUAUAAUACUCCCUCUAUUUCAUUUUAAGUAAUGUUUAAGGUUAGUUUGUAAAAAAAAAAGUAAUGUUUAAGGCUUUUGCAUACAUAUUAAAAAGAUUAUAUAAAUUUCAUUUUUUUUUACUCAUAAACAUUAUUAAUUAAAACUAAUUUAACCAAUAAAAAGCAUACUGCAGAAUAUAAAUGAUAAAAAAAAAAAUCAAAUACAUUUAAAUUUUUGUAUAUAAACUUGAAAAAUAUAUUUAGCAAAAAAAAUACAUAUAACCUUUAAAACAUAGUUUAAAAUUAACCAAAUUUUUUUUCUUAAAUAUCAUUUAAAGUAAAACGGGAUGGAGUUAUAAGAUAUCUAUUAGGAUAGAAUGAAAAACCACGAGUGAAGCAAAAGUUAGGUCGGUCAGCAAGGGAACAUAAGUCGCAUAUAUUAUUAGUUGGGGAUAACUGUUUACAUCAUCUUCUUCACUUUCAGUUUUGUGUUUACAUAAGACAGUUUUAACAACAACCAAAAAAAAUCUGGAAGAAAUAAAUACAAUGGUUACAUAAGACAGUUUUCGCAACACAUUUAUUAAUUCCGUUUAAUAUUUUUGGUGCUCAGUUUUUAAAAAUACUAUACUAUAAUUUGGUUGGAAAAAAAUGAGAAGUUUUAAUCAAUACAAUAAAAACACUAAGAGUCUCUCCAGGCCUGACACCUCAGCUUUUUAAGCUAUUCUCAGGUUGACACCUCAUUAAAAUCAUCGUCCAAUGAAAACAUUUCAGUUAAUACAACUCAACAUUUAUCAGCCAGUAAAAUUUUUUUUUAAAAAAAUUGUUGCAAAAAGUAUAAAUGGCCGAAGCCUAAUUAAAUAGUUUGACAGCCCAUAUUGGUUAGCUGUUUACAUAGAAAAUUAGAAAUCUUAUUGAACCCAUAAUUAAAAGUCCAUUUAGGUAAGUAUCUCAAAUCGUAGAAAAUAAAUCGGUGAAAAAAUUACUGUCGUUCAUUGAAGAGAAAACCAAAGCUGCAUAAUCUUACUCACCAAACCCGAAUUGGAUCGAGAAACCGAUAUCCUGUUUUGAUUGUUGAUCUCAUGAUUCUGGAGAUCGAAUUCGUAAAACUGUGAGAACUCCGAUGAAGUCUAUUUUUCAUUUCCCUCUACUUCACUUUCUUCCUCUUCUCUCCUCAGAAUUCCUAGCCGCUCUCCUUUGUUUAUUGUAUACAGAUCCAACGAUGUUUGAUCCAACAUAGCACCGUAGUCCACCAACGGAGCGUGAUGGUGGAAUCGUGGCUAGAUCGGUUUAAGGACAAAGUGGUGGUGGUGUGAGUGAGUAAGCUAAAGUGAAGAAGAUUGUGUUUGAGAUAAAAUUGGAGUAUUUUUAUGCUUCUGUUGAGUUUAAGAUUAUGAAGGAGUUGAAGAGUUUUACUGAUUUGGGUUUGAAAGAAGCUAAAGCAUUGGUGGAGAAGACUCCUCCGAUUUUGAAAGCUUGAUUGUCUAAAGAAGAAGGUGAGAAGAUCGUUGAGAAGUUGAAAGCAUUUGGUGCUAAAGUUGUUUUUGGAGUAGAAUCAUCAAUUUGUUUUAACGUUUGUGUUACUUUAAAAGCUUCCAUUUUUUUUUUUGUUCCAUCUAUGAGCUCAUGAUACAAGCUAAUUAAGGAGUUUCUUAAAGUCAUAGAUUACACUUGCUCUAUAUUUGGUUUGAGAGAUGAAAAAAGGAUAUGAUGAAUUUAUUCAAUAGAAAUCAUUUUUUUCCUCGCCAUGGCUUUUGAUUUUCUUUGAGCUUUCCACAAAACAUUGUGUUGUAAAAUUCUCUCCUAUUUGCCAAAUCACCCAUCAUCAAUUCCACAAAACUCUUUUAAAAUACCUCUGCAAUUAUCACUUUAAGUUUUUUUAAAAUGGACUUCGAUGGUCUUGUGGUACUUGGUGGAGAUGACUCCAAUACUAAUGCUUGUCUCUUUGCCGAACACUUGGUAUUUUUUUUAAGUUGGUUAAAAUGAAUGAGAUUCACUUAUCUCUGUUUUGUGUUUUGGUGAUUGGUUUCCCAUUUAGUUUUCAAAGCUAACAACAUGAAAACUCGGGUUAGUGGAUGUCCCAAGACAAUCGAUGACGUUUACUGUGAUUUGAUAUUAUAAAACUGGACUUGAGAUUAGUUCUUGAACCAAGAUCCACCAAUUACUUAUAUAAAUGCAACUAAAGAAAUUGUAUUCAAAGAUAUAAAAACUCAACUUUCGUUUAAAUCAUUAUUGAUGAGGAUUAAUCUUAUACAAUGGUUUUAUGAAUAAAAGUUAUAAAAAUCAUAUUGAUAUGUAAAUUCAAUUAAUAUUCGAUGCUUAAGGUAGAUAUCAAUUAACAAACUUACAUUCAAAAUAAUACCCGCAGCGAAGCGCGGGUUUCGUCCUAGUACCUCUAAAACCAAAAAGGUUUUUAUGCCUUGCACACAACAAAUUAUGAGAUUGAGAAUCUGAGAGGCCGACGUAGGUCUUUCUGAUUUAUAUUCUUGAAAAGGAAAACAAAGGAUUUAUUUACACUAAAUGUGGGUCAUCAUUCAUCAACAUUAUGUAUAUUGGAUUAAUAACUACAAGAUUCUUAUCUGCUAUGGAGACUAAAACAGAAAAAAGUAUUGAUAAAAAUAAGCAAAAAUAUAUGAAAGGGAAUUAAAAAAAAAGUAUUUAUAAAUAACUAGAAUGGGAUGAAAAUCCAGAAGAGGAAAAAUGUUUACAAAAAGAUUUUAUGCGGAUACAUUUUAGCAUUGCGUGCUAAAUUAUCUGUCUUUGUGAGUCACAUAAUAUGAUCUACUCUGGCAAUAUUUUGGUACCCAAUGUAAGAUAAUGUCACACAGUUAAAGCGUGACAUACUGAUACUUCGCUACAUCACAAGUUUUGUUUAUUCAUCUAUUUUUUUAAGGUAGAGAAAAACUUGAGUGUGAGGAAGAUUCCUAGGAUGAGAUGAGAAAUGUUGAAGGUGUAGUUGUGUAAGUUGAUGUAAUACAAGUAUCGGAUCUUCAAACAUUAAACUACAUAAUCAUCAACUUGCGCAAAAGAUAACUUUAUUAUAAUGACAAUUAUAACAAAGAAAGGAAAUAGAUUUUACAAAGAGGUUGACAAUAACAUUUUGGUGAUAAAACCAUGUUGUGUAUACUGUGGUACAUAUGUUUGAUUAUUUUUGUUAACUGAUGUUUUGACUAAGUUAUAUUUCCAUUAUGGUUUUUAAAGUUAGAUCAUUGAUCCGUAAUAGGAUGUCAUUUUGUUGCUGAUACUUUUGAUCAUUCAUAUGGAUGUAGAAUUUAUUUAUUCUUCUCCAUAGUUUAGACAUAUGAAGUCAACUAUAAUGUAUAUGUUCAAGCUAAAACUUUUUUGAUUUAAGAGCGUUGAACCAUAUAAAAUUCUAUUUUAAAUGCUCUAUUUUUUAAGCUUUUUUUUAUUUAAGAGCGGUGAAAUAUACUGAAAUCAAUAAUAAUGCCAAUACAUUCUCUAUCAUUUAGAAUUAUUUAAAAUUUCUAUUUUAAAUGCUCUAUUUUAAAUGCGAUUGGUUUGACUAUUUUUGUUUGGAUUUCAUGUGUCUAAUGUGUAGCAGAAGUUGGUCACUAGAGUUUAUCGUUUAUACUAUGAGUCUCUACUUUGUCGCUAUUUCAAAAAGAUUAACAAAGCGUAAUCCGAGAAAUCCCACUAAUCUUCUCGGAUGAGUAUACUUGUCGUCAAAUAGUACAUUCACUGAAUUUUUAACAAGCAUAAAGAGGUCAUUGUACAAUUGGGAAAAAUGUAUUGACACAUCAAGUUUUUGCAUCUCCAAAUUUUGCAAAACAAGUAUAGCAAGAGAAUAAUGAUGGAAUCCUAUAUAUAAUAUGGCCAAUAUUUGCAAAUUUUUGUACUAUGGAAAGGAGGGAACUUAUUUUUAAAUUUUAAUAUAGAAUUACAUUUAAUGGCUGUCAAAAAAAAAAGAAUUACAUUUAAUGAAAGAAUAAUAAAAAAAAAACAGUCGAACUGCCACAUGUGAAGAUUCUGGUUAAUAUUUUUGUAAUUAUAAUACACACACAUACAAAAUCAACAACAACAUUAUUCAGGCAUUAACAACAUUAAUUUCCAUCGUUAAUCGCAUUUUGGUUGGUGAAACACAUACGCCAUUAUAGUGCAUUGAUUUGUCCAUGUCUAAAGGAUUCUUCAAUCCAAACACAAUUUUAUACGCAAAGAUUUGAAUUAAAGCAAGGAUUUGGACAGAAUGUACGCAAAAGCAAACGAGAUAAUAGCUAGCGUUCACACAAUUUACACACUGUCUUUGUCUCUGUCUUUUUCUAACCGAAUUAAUUGCAAUUGCGAAAAUUUAUGUACAUAUGAUAAAGAAAAUUAAAGAUCCUAAUAUUUCGGUAGGUACGUGUAUCCAUCUUAAUUUAAUUUUGGUGUCUGAGUUUUUUUAAAACAAGAGCAAUCAUAUUCACUUUUCCUCGAAAGAACAAGUGGGGUUUAUCACAGUAUGAAACUAUAAAAAGAAAACAAAAGGAAGUCUUAUGAGUGGCUACAAAUUAAAAUAAAGGUGAAUUAAGUAGGUAUGUAACGGAAUUGACAGAAUGUUUUGGAGAAAAGUCAUUGUGAAUUUUCGUAAAUAAAUGGUUGUGUUUCAUCUUGAGUAAUUUUUAAAAAUAUAAUAAGUCAUAGAAAUCUAUGAUAUUCAUUAACAUAAAAAACAAAAACUAUGAUAUUUUAAAAAAAUUACACAUGAAAGAACGAAUCACACAUAAUAAAAAAAGAACGAAUCACAAUAUUUAUUAAAAUUCUAUUCGCUAUGUUUUCAUAUAAUAAUCGUAUUAGUCUUAUAUAUUACAUUUUCACAAAAUAGUUAUCUAGUCUAAGUUUUAAAAAAUUUGAAUUAUAAUUUCUAAUGGUUGCGACGGAUAUAAGGAAUAAAAUUAUUUACGGAUGAUACCGUUUUUGUUUUAUCAUUAUUAAAUUAUACUUUAUAAUAGAGGAGACACAAUAUAAAACAAAUCCAUUACGAACCAUUUAAAAAGGUUAAUAUACAAUAGAUAAUUUUCGCCUAAAAAAAUGGUUUAGACAUUAGUUUGUUAACGGUUUAAUCCGCUCCGCUCACAACAUUUAUUCAACCUAAAUGUUGUAUAAGAGUUAAAAAAAUGUGAAGAUGAUUUUCAUUGAUUCUAGCAACCGUCACCUUUUUCGAGGUGGCAAACAAAAUAGUAAAAAUUGACAAUUUUCGUAAGUAAAAUAAAAUACUUUUAGUUUAAGAAACUAAAUAACUUUUUAAUAUUUGAUCCACGAUUUGUUUAGUAGACGAACAAGCCAACUAUAUAAAUAACAUCAUCGUUUCUUCAAUCCUAUAACCCAACAGUUCUCUCAAAGAAAACCAAAAAAAUGGACUCCAAAACAACUUUUCUCACAUUUGUUCUCUGUAUUUCCAUUUUCUCUCAUUUUUCACCCUCAAGUUCCAAAUCUCUCACAGAAAAGCCUUUAUCUUUCUCACCGUCGGCGAGUUUGCCGACUCUCACGGCGGAGAGACUAAUCAAAGGAUUCAAUUUGAUGCCUACACGUGACGUCAAUGUCAUCGAUGAAGACGGUUCUGAGGCUCCGAGGCUAGUCGAGAGAGAAUUCGAGUUGCCGGCCGAGGUUGACCGUCGUGGCUCCGGUGGUUCUCCGUCGGUUCAAGAUUUUGGUCACCAUGCUGGUUACUACAAACUCCCUAAUUCAAAAGCAGCCAGGUAACUUCCAUUUUAUUGUACCAAAACUAAACCGGUUCAACCAAUACGGUUUAAUUUAUCCGGUUCAUAAUUUCUCACAAUUAUAUAAACCAAUCCGGUUUAGAUUAAGAUUUUUUUUCUUAACCGUUCUAUUUGGUUGGUACCGAUGCGGUUCACAUUGGGAUUUUAAUUCUCAAUGUCUUCUCAAAAAGAAAACCGAUCCGGUUUAGUGUUUACUCUUUUUUAACCGUUCUACAGUUUUAAUAAUACUUGGAACCGUCUCGGUUUACUUUUGUAUAAUGACUAAACCGGGUUUUUCUAUUGCUCAAUUUCUUUCACAGGAUGUUCUACUUUUUCUUCGAGUCAAGGACUAACAAAGCCGAUCCAGUGGUGAUUUGGCUAACCGGUGGACCUGGUUGCAGCAGUGAACUGGCUCUGUUCUACGAGAACGGACCGUUCACCGUCUCCAACAACUCAUCUCUUUCUUGGAACGAAUUUGGUUGGGACAAGGUUGGUUAGAAAAAAAACUGGUCAACGAAAACACGUUUUCUCAAAUCUCAACAAGAAACCAAAUUAAUCUCAACUACUUUAUUUUAAUUUAAUGUUAUAGGCAUCGAAUCUAAUCUACGUGGACCAACCAGUUGGAACCGGUUUCAGUUACACAUCGGACCAAAGUGAUCUUCGACACGACGAGGAUGGUGUUAGUAAUGACCUUUACGACUUCUUACAGGUUCAGUUUCAAGUUACUUUCCUCUGUUUCAUUCAUCACACAAAGAUCAUGUUUCUUGAAGAAUCUUGACGUGACACAUUUUUUUGUGCAGGCUUUUUUCAAAGAGCAUCCACAAUUUGUGAAGAAUGACUUUUACAUCACCGGUGAAUCCUAUGCCGGACAUUACAUUCCGGCAUUGGCUUCACGGGUUCACCGUGGUAACAAGAACAAAGAAGGAACUCACAUUAACCUUAAGGUAAAAAAAAAAAAAAAAUCUACAUUGAUUCUUUUUGUUCACACUUUUGUGUUUGGCUAAAGCAAAACCUGUUUUAUAUAUAUCAGGGUUUUGCAAUCGGUAACGGUUUGACCAACCCGGAGAUUCAAUAUGGUGCUUAUGCGGAUUACGCGCUAGACAUGAAGUUGAUAACACAGUCUGAUCACGAUAACCUUAACCGUAACUACGCAACUUGUCAACAAUCCAUCAAAGAAUGCAGUAAGAAACAAUCUCUCAACCUCUUUUCUUUCAAGAAUGAUAGUAAGAAGUUUGUGAAUUUUUAUGAAUUAUGUUUGCUUCUUUUAUGCGGGUUCAGGCGCGGAUGGUGGUGAAGGUGAUGCUUGUGCUUCUUCUUACGUUGUUUGCAACAACAUUUUCCAAAAGAUUAUGGAUAUUGCAGGAAACGUAAACGUAAGCAUCAAAACUGGAAUUGAAUGGAUCCCUUUAUUACUUGUUUGUUCUUGAAAUAAUAGCUAACAAGAUUUUUCCUCUGUUUUGGUUUCUAUUGUUUGAAGUAUUACGACGUGAGGAAACAAUGUGAAGGAAGCUUGUGCUAUGAUUUCUCGAACAUGGAGAAGUUCUUGAACCAGAAAUCGGUACGGAAGGCAUUAGGUGUGGGAGAUAUCGAGUUUGUGUCUUGUAGUACAGCGGUUUACGACGCAAUGCAGAUGGACUGGAUGCGGAAUCUUGAGGUCGGGAUUCCAGCUCUUCUUCAAGAUGGAAUUAAGCUCCUUGUUUACGCCGGGGAAUACGAUCUCAUCUGCAAUUGGCUCGGUACGUUUCCUUGCUAUGUCCAUGUGUUUGCUGACUACUAGUUACAUCUCCACAAAACCGGUUAAGAUGAGAUUGAUUGAAUAUAUUUCUCUUGGUAUAUAGGAAAUUCGAAGUGGGUUCACGAGAUGGAAUGGUCAGGCCAGAAACAGUUUGUAGCAGCCGCGACAGUUCCCUUCCUCGUAGACAACAAAGAAGCCGGUUUGAUGAAGAACUACGGUUCACUUACUUUCCUCAAGGUAAACUAAACAAAAAAAACGAUAAGCCGAACAUAUUUCUAUCGAUUUUAACACCUAAUUUAAGUGAAAUUGGAAAACGUUUUAUAGGUCCAUGAUGCUGGACACAUGGUUCCAAUGGAUCAGCCAAAGGCAGCAUUGCAAAUGCUUCAAAACUGGAUGCAAGGAAAGCUCAGUACACCCACUGGUCGGACCGCUCAUCAGUAAAUCCAAAUUCAGAACCGACUGAAUUAUUAUGUAUUUAGGAGAUCAAUACUUUACUUUUAAGAAAGCUAAAUAACAUAUACUUGUGAAUUAUUUCUAUAAAUACACAGGAAACUUCAUUGUUAAUCUCUAACCAUCAUUUGAAUUUUGAAUGUUUUCAAACAACAAAUUUGAAAUAUUUGGUUAUGAACUUAUGAUUUAAUCUAUAAUCUAAAACCUAAGAAAUACUUCAUUCAUUGAACACUCUUUUAUAACCUUUAUAUGUCACAAAGAUUUGACUAUUCCAAGUAAUACAAACCUAUCUCUAAGAUUCCACAACAACUAGAGAAGAUGACACAUAAAAACAAAGCUUGCAAAUUCACCGAUGACCCUCAUAAGAACGAUCACGAUACUCAUCAUCAUCAUCAUCAUCGUCAAAAAUGAGAGUAACACCAUUGUUUCUAAGAGAAUUAAUAACAGCCCAUACCUUGGUUCGACUCUUAAACCCUUUCUUUUCGAUUUCUUUCUUGAUAUCAGCAUGAAUACCUCUUCCUUGCCCAUCUUGAAGCCCUUCCACUUUCAGUCUCAUCGCUAAAACCUCUCCUACAAUAGCCGCUGCCUUAGCAUUGCAAGUACGACCACACUCCAGUGAGUUCUUGAUCGCGUGCUCUACAGUUGAAGCCGUAGUCACUAUUCUCCCGUUGUUUCUGUCCACUACGUUUGCUGUUAUGUACUUGAUCGACAUGAACAACCUCAAUACAUACCUUUUCAAAACUGUCAUUUGCUUCUACAAAAUACACACAACAUAAAUGCAUCAAAGGCUCCUUAAAAGCUUGUCUACUAGAUAAUGUUCUCAGAGGAAUUUCGUCAAACACCUUACAGGCAAAAACAUUAUUCUUUGUAAACUUCAAUUCAAGAGGCUUACUCUACUACCCAUUUUAUAAAGCUGCUAAAUUUUCAAAAUCAAAUCGAAAAUGAGAAUAAAUAAUUCACAGCGUAGAAACGAGGAAAUCAAACAAUCCACGGCACAAAAACAAAAAUCUCUGCCUAGAUAACACGAAGUCGUGGAAGAGAAACCAACGAAAAUAAAAUUGAAAUUUGUUCGAACUUACGUGUAAAGGGAUGUCUAACUUGAGCCUAAUCAAGAAGAAUCGUUGCGACGAGAAAAUUUCCAGAGCGCCAAGAUGAACAACGACGAAGCAGGAAUAAAACGAGUCGGGUCGGGUCGGGUCGGGUUCUAUACCGAUAACCAAGUCGGUCCAAUCAUAAUGGGCUUUUUACUUUGGGCUAAAAAUGUUUUGUACCAAACCAAACCGGUACACUAGCGUUAUUUAUCAAAUACUCCGAUCUAGAACCUCUUAACAAAAAAAAAAGUCAAAGAUCAGCAAGCUACAUUGGGACAUGAAAAUUUAUAUAGAAAUCAAAAGUUGAUUAAUAAUGCGUGAAAACAUAAAACGACCCAUGUGGAGAGCACUAAUUUCAAUGAUUUUUGUUUUCAAGAAAUUUGAAAAAACUGAUAUUCCCUCCGUUUCAUAAAGAGUGUCGUUUUAAGGUUUUAUUUUGUUUCAUAAAAAGUGUCGUUUUAGGUUUUUAAUAUAAAAUUUAAUGAUUUUUUAUGUUUUAUGACUAUUAGUAUUUUGCAGAUUGUUUUACUAUUAGGCAGAUUAUGUUUAGAUAUAUAGUUGAUGAUGUUUUUGUUUAGAAAAAACAAAAAAUUUAAUGUUUUUUUAAUCUGUGUGCAAAACUCUAAAAUGACACUCUUUGUGAAACAGAGGGAGUAGUUGCAUAGGCUAAUAAUUUUUUCUUAUUUAGUGUAGAAAAUAGGAUGCUACUAAUCAUCUUAAUGGUUGACUUUUGAAUUCUGACAACCUGUAAGCUUAAGAGAUUGAGCUUAUUGGUUGGAUAGUGAUUUUCUUUCUGUAUUAAUUUUCUUUCGGACAACCUAUAAGCUUAAAUGAUUGAGCCGAUUGGUUGGCUAGUCAUUUUCUAUCUGGAUUAGUUAUUUAAAUAUCACAAGUACCAUUCACAAACAUAGAGGAGAGCACUAAGUUAAUUACUCAAAAUCUCUCCCAUCUUUCCUUACCAAAAAAAAAAAUUUCUGCCAUCUUUCGUUUCUUAAGGUAUUCUAUUUCGAUAAUUCUAUGGAUCCAGAGCCGCAGUUGAAGCUCUUGUCACUCGUUACUCAACUAAUGUCUUACAUCGACCCUGAUAAAUUGGAAACGGGUUAUGUGUCGGAGGUCAAAUUACUCAUUAGGCAAAUAAUCUCUCUGGUCAACGCAAUGGAUUUGGAUUUGCAGCCAAAGCCGGAGUCGAAGCUCAUGUCACUCAUUACUCAAGCCAUCUCACUCUUCAGCUCUAUGGAUUUGAAUUCUCAGCCGGAGCCAAUAAGGGAGUUCAUAUCAUUCAUUUCUCAAAAAGUCAACUCUAUAGAUUCUGAUUGGGAGAAGAUGUUCCUAUCACUCUUUAUGCUGAUAAUGGUAUUUAAGAUAGAGGAGUCGGAGCUCAUAUCACUCCUCUAUGAGAUAUGCUACCUUGCCACUUCUAUGGAUCCACAGUGGGAGAAGUUCAUUCCCUUUAGCUUUCAAGCAUAUGUAAGAUUGAAAGAAGGAAAAUUUCAUGUGAUUGAAGACGUCCAGAGAAACAGCAAAAAGGAUUGGAAUUGUCUCCCUGUAAGAAGGAAAACUAUCAGUUUUACAGGAGGAGACGCUACACAUUUUCGAUGCGCAGGUUGCAAUGGCGAGAACCAUGAAGAAUAUAACAAGACUCCGGUUGAGAUCAAACACCAUCUUCAUCCAAAACAUUCUCUUCAGCUUGUCAAGUUGAAGGGUGGCGAGACCAGGAAAUGUUAUUGUUGUGAUGAAGAUAUCAUAAUGAUAUUUUUUUAUUGCUCGACUUGCGAUUUUGCUAUGAACAUGAUUUGUUUUGCGAAACCACCAGCCUUGUCUAUGGACCUUCCUAAGUGGCAUGAGCAUACACUUGCUCUGUUUCCAAGUCAGGCUUCCUUACCUUGCAACCUAUGUGCCUUGACACACUCAAGCUGUCCUUUCUAUAUAUGUCCCCCUUGUGACUUUGUGGUCCAUCAAAGGUGUAUCAGCUUACCACGUGUCAUAAGGAUAUCUCGCCAUCCCCAUCGUGUCUCGUUUACGGCUUCAUUUGAACAAGGAGAUUGGCGUUGUGGUGUUUGUCGUAGAAAGAUCGACAAUGAUUAUGGAGGCUAUUCUUGCAGCAAGGACGGUUGUUCGUAUGCGGCUCAUUCAAGAUGUGCCACACAAAGAAAUGUGUGGGAUGGUAUAGAGCUUGAGGGAGUGCCGGAAGAAAUUGAAGAAGUUGAGCCGCCCUUUGUGAGGAUAAGCGAUGGUAUCAUACGACAUUUCAGUCAUCUGCAUCAUCAUUUGAGACUUGAUGAGAACACAUGCAGAGAUUACGACGAGAAUAAUCAAUGUCAAGCAUGCGUCAUGCCAAUCUAUUUCUGUAAAUUCUACUCAUGUAUGCAAUGCGAGUUUAUUCUUCAUGAAACAUGUGUAAAUCUUUCUCGCAAAAUACAUCACCCGAUACAUCCACAUCUACUUACUCUAGUGGGAGGAGGAUAUGAUGGUUUGAUAGACUACGAUUAUGAUAAAUGUUCAGCUUGUCAAUCGAUGUACAGAGCUGGUUUCUUCUAUGAGUGCGAUAAAGAAGGAUGUUCUUUCCAGCUACACGUGCAGUGCACCACAAUUUCUGAGCCAUUGGUCCAUGAAAGUCAUAUGCAUCCUUUAUUCCUAACAUCUAAACCAGGAGAGGAAAGAAUUUGUUCUGUUUGCAAAAAUAAAGGAAGAAGUUCCACAAAGGAAACAUUCAAUUGCAUUGAGGAGUGUGACUUUUCUUUGUGUUUUGGAUGUGCUACUUUACCUCAAAAGGUGAGGUAUAAGCAUGAUAAGCAUACACUCACUCUUUCAUAUGGGGAGGAGACAAGUACUAUGAUGUAUUGGUGUGAAAUUUGCGAACGAGAGAUAAAUCCAAAGAAGCGGUUUUAUAUGUGCGACGAGUAUUGUUGUGUCACCCUACACAUUGAUUGUAUGCUUGGGAUGGACUUAUACAUGAAAUCCGGUUUAUCACUGAGUAUUUUCCGGGGUUUCUCUCAGGCAUAUGUUCAACCCAACAAUCAUCAUAUGUCUCGACCUAUUUGCUACUCUUGUGGGAAGCGUUGUCCACAGAAAAUAGUUAUCCAGUCCUCCGGAUUCAUUGUGUGUUCCGUAAUAUGUUACCGUGAGAUGGUGUUACACUUGUGCGGACUCACCAAAUAAGCAACUGUCCAUUCUAUAUGUAAGGAAUGCUUUAUGUACUGUUUCAAGUAUUGCGUCUCCUUCAUAUUAUGUUAUUACAUGUUCUGUCAUAUACAUAGCAUGUGUGUUUAAUCUAAACCUUGUUACAGCUUUAUAGAGACAUCCAUAAUCAUUGCAAAAUUUCAGAAAACCCUCUCUUGGAAUAGUCAAAUCUUUGUGAUAUAAUCAUAUCUAAAUAGUUCAGAUAUAAUCUCAGACUCUCACUUUUGCAGCUAAAUAUGGAAGACAUUAUGGGAAUUCUGAAGGAUAUACAAAAAUUUAUUUUUCUUAACAGAUAUGGCAAUUAACAAGAGGAAGUGUGGUUAGUAGUAAGAUACUUUGUUAUGUACAUUAAGUGGAAAAACGAAGAAUGACUCUAGGCUUAACUUACUACAAACAGAGGAGUGAGUAGUAGACAAGAGGUAUAAAGGCAUUGUCUAACUGUGCGGUGUAAGCUUCCAACAUCCCGGUGGCUGUCACAGCAACCAGAAGCGACCACCACCCUUGACUUAGUAUAUAACCCAUUGAUGCUAAUACUGGGACCAGUACAAAGCACACUGCCAUCACCGAUGUUAUUCCCGCUGCUGUUCCUUCAACCGUUUCUCCGUUCCGCAAACAUUAUUUUACGCACUUGACAAUAUUAGUUUCCGAUAAAAGCAAUAGUUGAGAUUAUUUAAAAGGAAAAGAAAAGACUUACUUCCUGUCUUGCUCCAUCUCAAUACCCCAUACUUGUGCCCAACCAUCGAUGCCUGAAGAGAAAAUCGUUAUAACAUAACAUUGGGAGAGACUGCGGUUUUCUAAGUUAGUAUCUCCGGACAAUGUAAGUAGAAGCUAAAAGUUUACCAUUGUAUCUCCAAUCCCGAGGCUGAGAAUUCCGGCAAAUGGGGAUAAAGCUCGGUCAUUGAACCCAGAUGACAUCCAAAUUGGAAGCGCACACCCAAGCAAGAGUGAGAAGUGGCUAUAAAACAAGACAUAAUAAUCAAUACUCCCUCUGUUUUUUUAAAGUUGUCGUUUUAACUGUAUUUAGACAAAUUAAGAAAAGGUAUACAAUGACUAUAUUAACCUCAUAAAAAUGACAAGUAAUUAUUUACAAAUAAUUUGUGUUCAAUAAAAUAAGGGUAAUUUGGGUAGUUAUUGGCAUAAAUUACAUUAUUACCUUAAAACGAAAACUAAUUUAAAACAAAAAAAAUCUCUAAAACGACAACUAUUCGAAAACGGAGGGAGUAAUUAUACAAACCAAACAAAAAAUGUGAUAAUUCUACACUGAGUUUUCCCAUCCAUGGUCUAAACAGUUUUGGCAUACCUGACAAUCAGAUGCUCUGAGUCACGAUGGUCCAUGAAAGCAUUCAUGAAUUGAUGUAAAGGCUCUCCUAGCGGCUGAAUUCUCCAGAUCUGUGAGUAUCUUGCAUUAAGCCCAUUGAACGCAAUGAAACCUAGAAGGUGAGUUCUUUCAAAAGAAGGGAGCUUACUCGAAUGAUCUCCAAUGCAACAAAUACCGCCAAUGCAGCACCAAAUGCUAGAUCGAGAAAUUUAGGCUGAAUGGAAGGACAUGAAAAUAAUAAGAAUCGACUAGAGGACUGGAGAAGGCUAACACAUACGGAUUUCCAAAUAGUAAAAUUAUAAAUUAUUGAUCUGUAAGACAAGAGUAGAACAGCCAUCAGAUGGUUGUACUUCCGAAGCAAGAUUCUCUCAACCUUUCUAUUCCUCGAGAUGUUAUAAAAUCGUGAGACAGACACAACGAUCAACAGAACCCAGUAGAUACAUAAUGAAAGUCUCUUCAGAGGUUCAGAAAAGACAAAUGUGAGCACCCUGCAAUAGAAAGAGUAUUAAAGUUGGAUACAAUCUUAGCAUGUGGAAGUUAGUGUACAAAGGAUCGCUACCGACGCUGAGAGGACACAGGAUAGAUAAUUGAUAGUAGAGAUUACGUACCAUAUGAAGGAAUGCUGGUCGAAUUCGUGUACAAACUGCAUCCAAGAAGGAACAGCCACGAUCAUAAAUAAUAGAAGUGAAACAAAGAAUAAGACAGAUUUUGCAGUAUCACUGCAGUUUCUUUGUCGAGCAUCUCUCUUUCUCAAAGAGCUUUCAUAUAUAUGCACAACGAAUCUAAACACCAUUGGGAAAAGUAGAAGCCCCAAAAGUAGACCCUAAGAAGGAGGAGACAGGUAAGUUGUUAUGCAGCAAUACGGUCAAGUUACUAUGCAUUUAAUAUCUCUUUUAUUAUAAUCAUACCUGGACGAUUAUGCCGGUUUCAGUCCUCCUUAUUCCAUAGCUUAUUGAGACAAGAUCCACAGGUAUCAAUUUCUCGAAAAUCUGUAAAAUUUGUCAUACCAAAGUUACAGAGACGAAAUCACUGAGUCAUUCUUGAAUGCAUGCAGUAACCAAUGAAGGCACAAAAACGCAUGACGUGUUCAAAGAUUGGAAAAAAUAAAGAAUUCUAACCUUUGCAAUUGUGAAUUGUGCAUGCCAAAAAGUCGCCAAAAUAGAGAACAAGACCACUGGUCAGAAGAAGUGCUUCCCCUAUAAAAGUGGCAUUAGUUGGAAGGUGAAACAGAAAUAUGUGGAAUCAAAAGAGGAAAGUUUCAAUUGAAUCCAUAGUUCCAUAGAGACAAAACCAUUUCAUGACUGACGGCUAAAAACUCUUGUGAGGGAUAUGCUGAAAGUUGUAGUAGCAGUCGCCGGAGCUGAAACGAGAGAGAAGAAACGGAGAAGUCUCGACGCAGAUCUCGACGAGGAAGGCGGAGAGAGAGAGGAUGAAGAGGGAGUAGCCAUGGGAUACUCAGGCAAGACAUGUCCAUGGUUAAACCUAGAUGAUACUACUAUGAUACUAUUAGGUUGUAGUUACUAAACUUUUCUCUAACGUACGUUACUAAAUACAGCAUAAGAUUUUUUAAGAUUGAGUACCUACCUAUAUGAAUUCGUAUGAACAUCUGAACAUGUAUGAAUUCGUGUUUUGUUCUUGUAUGAAACCUGGUUAUAUAUAUUCAUUUUUAAAAAUUAAAUUUAGUUCUUAAUAAAAAUUAAUUGGUAAUAGAAACAAUUAAAUUUCGAAAAAGUAAUUAAUUGGUAUCCUAAUUUUCGAAAGGGAAAAUUAGAUUGGGUACCACAUUUGGCCCAAAAUUUAGGUCUAGUACCACUUUCGAAGCCCAUUUAUCACUCAUACCACAAUUGAGGUAUGUAAUGACCAUUUUGCCCUUCUUUUUGUUUGUUCAAAUUUCAGGGACAAAAUUCAUAGUUUGAGCACACAAAAAGAAGUUUACAUAUAUUUGUCCCCGAAGUUUGAGUUUCUCCAUAAUUUCAUCUUAUUUUUGCAUGUUUGCUAGUUUUUGUCCCUCAAUUUUAAUUCAUUGUUCUUGGAUUUUAGUAUGUAAACUCUAAUUGCGGUAUUUUUAUUUUGUUUGAUGUUUAUAUUUCGUUUGAUUAUUGUCCCCGAAUAGGUUUUUUGUCCCCAGAUACUUGUCCCUAAAUGUUACACUUUAUCUGCCACAUCAGCCGAGGGCAAAACCGUCUUUUUCAUACCACAAUACAACAUGAAUGUGGUACAACUUGUACCGUACAACUUGUACCGUACACCGCAAAAAUAUUAAAUAUUUUUUAAACUAAUAUUCUACUUAAAUUCAAUUUUUGAUUUAAAUAUUUAAAACAAAACGUAAAACCACGUCUUCUAUAACAUGGUUAUGCGAUUUUUGCGGGAAAACGCAGAUCUACGGUUUUGGCGGGAAAACGAGGAUUUACGGUUUUGGCGGGAAAAUGUGAGUUUACGGUUUUAGCGGGAAAACGCGGAUUUACGGUUUUGGCGGGAAAAUAUGAGUUUACGGUUUUGGCGAAAAAACGCGGAUUUACGGUUUUGGUGGGAAAAUGCGGAUUUACGGUUUUGGCGGGAAACGCGAGUUUACGGUUUUGGCGGAAAAACGCAUGUUUACGGUUUUGGCGGGAAAACGCGAUUUUGCGAUUUUGGCAGAAAAUGACGUUUUCCCGCCAACACCGUUAACCCGCAUUUUCCCGCCAUAAUCGUAAAAUUGCGUUUUAUCAACAAAAAUAUCAUACUAUAAAAUGAUGUUUUCCCGCAAAACCGUAAACCCGAAUUUUCCCGCCAUAAUCGUAAAAUUGCAUUUUUUGAAACUAUAUUAUUCUUCAACAAAAUAAUAAAAACAGUUAUAUCAUUAUUUAUCAAUUAUUUAAUAAAAUAAUCUGUAAAUUUUAAAUAAUCAAUUAAAAUAAUUAUUGAUUAUAUUAUAUUGUUUAGAACAAAACAAUGUUAGAUGAGUUGAAUUGACAUAUAAAGUGAAUUGGAUUUUGAAGUCCAAUGCUUAAACGUGGGGUGUCCAUUGAACUUGAAAGUCAUUGGUAAUGGAAUUUUGAAGUCAUUGGUAAUGGAUUUUGAAUUCCAAUGCAUAUAAUUUAUGUCAAGAAUUACAAAAUUAUACAUUUUAAAACUUUAUUCCAAUAACAAAAUAAUAAAUAUUUCAGGAACGGCUGUAAAAAAUAUAUAUAUAUAUAUAUAUAAUAACUAGGUUGAAGAACCCAAGGUUGGGUGGGCUGGAGUCUGGAGAGCGCCGCCGUGGAAGAUGAAGAACCCAAGGUUGUUGAUGUUUUGUAAAAAAUAACUUAAAAGUAUGUGUAUUGCAAAAUAACUGAGAGAAUUGCAAAAGAAAACACUAGGUAAUAGGUUAUAAUUUUUUAUUCGUGGAUACCAAUUUUCGGAGAGAGAGAGGGAGAGAGGGAGAGAGAUGAAAUACUUGAUAAAAUGCUAGGAUUGUUUUUGUUCAUGUUUUAUGAGUAAAAGUACAUUUAAAUCCAAAAUGAAACAAAUCAAAUGAAUAUUCAAUAACAGUUGUUUUUGAUUCAUUUUAGAAUACAUCAAACAAAUACUAAUCUAAUAACAGCAGAUUUUUAACGUAAUUUUGCAAAUACUAAUCCAAUAACAGCAGAUUUCAAAAUCCAUUAAAAACCCCCAUCCAAUAACACCCCCUAAAUGGGUUUAAAUGGGUAAAGAAAAUUUAAAUGGGUUUAAAUGGGGAGGUUAAAUGGGGUGUAAACUUAAAUAGGCUUAAAUGGGUGGGUUUUAAAUGGGGUUAGUUUUAAAUGGGGUGGGUCUAAAUGGGGUGGGUUAACCCAUAUUAACAUCUCUAGGUACAAGUGGUAAACCAUUCUCUAUUGUGGUAGAGAUGUUAAAGAAUUUAAAAAAUGUAGUACAUUUGGUAAAAAUCUUUUUCUGUUAUAAACUGUGUAAUCUUAUUAACACAUAAGAGAGUAUAUAUAUGAGUUUACACGGAAACACAUAGAAGGAGAUAAAAUCUAAUGGGCCUUGGGUCGGUUAUGGAGUCCAUCCAUAUGAUUUAUAACACUCCCCCUUGGAUGACAUAACCGUGUAGAUGUUCAGAGAUCUUCGUAAUAUGCUUGGGAAUGCUGCCUCAUUAAAACCUUACCAGGAAAACCCAGUGGGACAAAACCAUGGUGAAGAAAAAAUAGUACAACACACAUUACUCCCCCUGAUUUGUACAUCACUGAAGCUCCUUAAGUCUUCGCAUCCCAAUCUGAUAUAUGAGUUUCUUAAGUGUUGAUGUUGGCAAAGACUUGGUGAAUAGAUCGGCUGAGUUGUUGCUGGACCGGACUUGUUGAACUUGUACUUCACCGGCUUUCUGUAACUCGUGUGUGAAGAAGAGCUUUGGCAAAAUGUGCUUCGUCCGGUCUCUCUUAGUGUAGCCGUCCUUGAGUUGAGCAAUACAGGCUGCGUUGUCUUCAAAUAUGAUGGUCUUUGAUGUAGUAGUAGAUGCGCCUUAAAGAAGGCUGCCUACGUACCCUUGGAAGGGAUCAAGCCACACAUAGUUCCUAUUCAUUGACCAUGCCAUAAUCUGAUCUUAUGAAUAACCUGCAUCAGCAAAUCAAACUAAACCAAAGCAAACUGGACCUUCUUUGCUUAGAUCAGUAUAGAAUAAAACCCAAGUAAACAACGCAGGAAUAAUAGACUUUAAAACUUAACCAAACCUUCCUUUAAACCUUUCCAGUGCCUUUGGGUUGAUCAUGAACUAAAUUUAGACAGGAGACUCACGGCAAAACAAAUGUUUGGUCUAGUGUGUCUAGCCAAAUUCAUUAGAACUCCUAUGGCACUGAGGUAUGGCAUUUCCGGACUGAAUGGAUCACUAUCCAAUCUGAGGCUUCUCACCACCAUUGGGCCUGGUCAAUGGGUGGGCCUGGUCCUUAUUAAAUCUCCUUGAGUACUCUUUCAGUGUAUGCCAUUUGAUGCACAAGGAUUCCAUUAUUCACGUACUCAGGUUGUAAUCCCAAACAGAACUUAAUUAUUGCCUAGGUCUUUCAUUUCAGAUUCUUUCUUUAGAUAUACUCAACUGUUUGGUCGAUUACCCAGAGGUUUAAAUCAUUCAUAUACACUGCUAUGAUUACAAAUCCUUUAUUUGCAAACCUCUUUAUGAAAAUACAUGGACUGAUGGGAUCAUUUAUAACCUUCCAUACGCCCACUUAGUCUAAGUCCAUGAAAGGAUUUGUCCAGCCUUAUGCAGUGCUGUUCUCGAGAAUCUUUCUUAUCUUUGUGCUCAAUACCCUCUGGUAAUCUCAUAUAUUAUCCAGUGGACUUAUAUAAAUAUGCAGGCAUUACAUCCAUUAGCCGCACAUCAAGUCUUUCUCUUUUAUAUAGCCAGACUUAGCAAAAAUUUAAAUGUCUUAGCAUCCACCACAGGGGAGUAUAUCUCCUCUAUUUUAGGUCUUUGUGUGAAUUCUUGUGCGAUAAGCCGUGUCUGAUAUAUCACGCUUUCACUAUGUUUAUUUCACACAAUCACAAAGACUCAUUUGUCCCACUGGCUUUACAUUGAAUGGUGUCCUUCGUAUUGGACCAAACACAUUCCUCUUCUUAAUGAUUCUUAGCUCCACGUUUUAUGGUCUUGUACCAUUUUAAUCAAUCAGGUCUUUGAGUGCACUCUAGUAUAGACGUGGGCUCCUGAUCCUCAUUUAUUUCAGUUGCUACCUUGUACGCAAAUAUUUUAUCAUUGAUGUCGACAUCUUUUCGGUUCCAUUGUAUUCUAGACAUGUUAUAGUUUAUAGAGAUCUCUUUACACUUUCAGGACCUUGAGGUUUGGCGUCCCAAACCUCAUUGAUUGGUACUUUAGGGUUAUGUCUAUUAGUCGGCCAUGUCUAUGGUUUCUUGAACCUUUUCGGUUUUCCUUGCACCUUUCUUUGAUUUUCGAGGGUUCUUGUCUUUGGAACCUUUUGGGUCUACCACGUUUCUUACGUGUUGUAGCCUCUGUAGCAACUUGAUUAUGUUCCUUGUGAACAUCAAUACGUACUGGUGCAUUACAAGCUGGUAUGUACGAUUUUGUUACUCUCUUUGGGUCAUUAUAGGAAUCUUGGCAACUGUUUUAGCUAGCUUUUGCAGAUAUAUAGUCUUUUGGAUCUCUGAUGGAGUCCAAGGAUCUUGCCAUGUGAAGGAUGUUUGAUUCCAUGUAAGUUCUUUGACCAGCUUGUUAGUCUAUCCACCCAGUGUUGGGAAAACGGAUUCAUUGAGAUGACAAUCCUUGUAUCUGGCCUUUGGCUCGAGAUAGUUAAUGAUGGUGGGAGAAUCAUUUUUAACGUAUAUUCCCAUCCCCUUUUGAGGUCCCAUCAUUUGCUCUCUGUGGUGGUGCUAUGGGUAAAUAGGUGACACACCCAAAUGUCUUUAGAUGGGAUAUAUCUGGCUCCUGACCUGUGAGUAGUUGGGAUGGUGAAUAUCUAUGCUCACUAGAAUGGCCUGAUGCAUAUAAGCUCUUGUUGCAUGUAAUAUUGCGUGUCCCCAAGCAGCUAUUGUGAGUUCAAGUAUGGACAUGUGCCACGGGGUAUACUACUCUCCCCCUCAUGGACAUACUGUAGCCAUAAAACGCUUGGGACAUAAUUUACCAGCAUUAUCUAGACAUAUAGUCUUAAGUAUGUGGGCUCACAGACUUAUGGUCUGGGCCAACAAUCUAGCAAACACCAAGUUUCUAGUUGCUUUGACUGGUGAUGGCCUUAGUAUGAGUUUCCCUUGUGUACAUGCUACACACGUGAGGUCCUUAAGGGGUGUGCCCUUUUGAUUUUAAUAUCAGCUUUACGCAUCAUGUUAGAACCAGGCUGGCUAAGCCGGUCAUGCCAUUAGUGAAUUUCUCAGUAAACCCUUUUGUUUACUGUAUUAGCCUUUAUCAUAUUGACCUUGGCAUAGUAAAGGUCUAUGACGCAGGUAUAGUCUCUAAGACCUUCUCAUGGUCUUGGGUGCUCUUAGUAAUAUAUGGGAAUCCUUUGUUCCCUUCACCCUUAGUUUCAAUGUGGAAACCAUUCAAACACAUUUCUUUGAAACUCAACAAGCCCCUUUGAGCUGGGUGAAUAUGAAGCAUCUGAGGAUGCGUGCCCUUGGGAAUAUGGGCCUGCCAUGGGCCUGCCCUUAGCCUUCACUAAAUUUAGCUAUACCCGCAAUUUGGCUAAUGAACCAUGUCUUUAGAUAUUUCGUUUAUUGAAUUCUCAUAACUUAUAAAUCAAUCAAUUCAAAGUCAUAGAACAUAGAAAACAUCAAGACAAAACAAAACAAGUCAAGAAAACAAAUCAAGAACACUUAGAUGCCGAAAACAAUUAAGCCUCUUCUAGGCAAUCCGAAGUCUCAUAAUCAUCUAUCUUAGGGUCGAAAUCUUCUUCACCAUCGUGAUGAACUAAAUGAGCUUCUAGAUUCUUUUCAAACUCUCUUGAUAGAGAUCAACGAGAUGCUUAGGUGUCCUGCACGUCUUAGUCCAAUGGUUUCCCCAUUCAUCAUUAGUGGCUAACAAGUUUAUUUGAGUGUUGUGGUUUGGGUAUACCGCGGCCUCUACCUUGAUUACGACCAAAGUCGGGUCGGCGGCCUUAACCAUAUGAAUGGUUUCCUUGAUCAUAUAAAUUAUAAUUGCCACUUCUACCACGUUCAUUCCAUUUACCAUGACUGUGGCCAUGAUACUUAUCUCUUUGGACGUGGUUAGACUCUUUAGUCUCAUUAGGCUCUUUAGGCUCUUCAGCCCAAUGGGCUUCUGAUAAUGGGGUAGGACCAGGAGGUCUCAUUUCACUAUUUAUAACUCAUUGUUUUGCUCAGCAAGUAGCAAAACAAGAGUUUAGACUUGCAUAUAUGGUAAAAACCUUUUUCACGAUAUUGUUGCUGAGGCAAUAUAUUGUUUGUGUGAAAGGUCGAGAAUGCUUUCUCUAGCAAGUCAUUCUCAGUAACUUCCUCACCACGGAAUCUCAGUAUUGACACUAUUUUAAAUAGUGCUGAGUUAUACUCAUUCAUGGAUUUGAAUUCCUGGAAUCUGAGAUUCUUUCGAUCGAAUCGGGCUUUUGGGUAAUAGCACCGUUCUUUGGUGGUUAUAUUAAUUUUUUUUUCAACUUUGUCCUGAGGUCCAGAGGAUUCUUAAUAGUGAGGUACUGAUUUUGAGACUGUCAUUGAGGUGAUGGCGUAUGUUAGUAAUCGCCUUAUAUCUUUCUCUUCUGGUGACAUUGUUUCCUUCCACAAUAGAUUCACCAAGCCCUUUUUCCUUUAGGACAAUCUCAGUGUCCAAAGUCCAUUGUAAAUAAUUGUCACCAGAGGCAUUGAGUGUCGUGUAUUCAUAAUAGUUGAUUUCUGACAUCUACAAUAUAUAGAGUUAAAUGAGAACUCAUGUAAUCGGUUAGACCAAGUCAUGCGGUAUUUAAGACCGAGCCAUGCUUGUCUUGAGCAAAUGUUUUCUAAACAAUCAUGUUAUAUAUAUAUGGAUGAAAUCAACCCUAGAAGAUUGAUCUAGUAUGCAACAAAAAAACAACCAAACAAUCGGAUCAUACUAGAUUAGGAUAUUAGGAUUUCGCGGUUAAGUUUUAGGGUUUUAGCGUCCGCGAUUUAUAGUACUAGGGUUUUUGCUAGGGUUUCGGUUUUAUGUAUGGAACUUUCUAUUUAUGGAAACUUUCCUUAUAUGGAACUUUCAAUUUAUGGAAACUUUCUAUUUCUCAUCUAGAAAGAAAUCCUAAACAAACGUGUACUUUAGGGUUUUGGAAUAUUUCCUUAUGAAGGGGUUUCCUAUUUUGGUAACUUUCUAUUUUGGAAAACUUGCUAUUUUACGAAAGUUUCUAUUUCUGGAAACUUUCUAUUUAUGCUUAUUUUGGGAAGCUUUCUAUUACGGGAAAAUUUUGCCAUUUUAGGAAAUUUAAUCGGGAACCGAGACUUAGGGUUUACGAGAACCAGAUUUAAUCGAGGAUUUAAGGUUUCGGUUUUCUUUUGGAUUAUACCGAACAUAAGUCCGGUUUUAGGUCUAUAAUCAAACCGUAACUUGCAGUUAGGGUUUCGCAUUUUUAAAUCGCGAUUAGGAUUAAACCGGUUAAUCAAACCGGUUAUGUUCUGGUUAAGGUUUCGAUUAAGGUUUCGGUUUAGAAUGAAAAACGGAAAUGGCGGUUUGGUUUUCGCGAUUAGGGUUUAUAUUUAUGGAGGUUUUAUGGCAUGAGAUAACAAUCAAGCAAACCGGUUUAGACUUUUAGGGAAUAAGAUCGCGAUUUAGAUUUCUAUCAUUAGGGAUUCAAUUCAAUCAAAAACAAGCAACAUAUUUUAGGGUUUUAUAUAUUGAGAAUCGCGAUUUAAGAUUUUAGGGUUUAAGAUAUGCGCAUAGGAUUUAAUCAAAACAGAUUCUAUUUUAUGAUUGAGGGUUUAGAUUCAUGAGACAAAGCAGAUUCUAUAAACCUAGCAUAUCAAACCUCAAGAACAUACAAAACAGUUCAAUUAACUUGCAAUACACGGAUUAAGGGUUUUAGGGUUUCAAUUUCGAAACAGAUCAGGGUUUUAAACCUCUAAAUCAAUCAAUCAGAUUAUAAAAUCUCUAUCAACCUAACUCACACAGAUUUAAAACCUCAAAGGAUCAUUCAAUUAAUCAACAAAACAAUCCAUGCACACGUAAAUUAGGGUUUCAGAUUUUAGGGUUUUAGUUUGAACAUUAAUCAGAUUCGAUUCUGGGUUUUAGAGUUAGGUAUAUCUUUAACCUUUUGAUGGGUUGAAUGGACCACCAAGAGAUCAUGAACAAGAGCAGGUCGAAUUUUACACGCUGCUGCAACGAACCGCAAACAGUACCGCGAUGAACAGUGUCGACGAUGAACAGUGCCGAUGAAGAACAGUACCGAUGAUGAACAGUACCGCGAUCGGAUCUGAUGAUGUGCGGUUUUUAGGGUUUUAGCAAUUUUUAGGGUUAGGGCUUUUUGAAGGUGGUUUUAUUUCUUUAGAGCGUCGUGCUGAUAACGUGUGAUAAACUGUGUAAUCUUAUUAACACAUAAGAGAGUAUAUAUAUGAGUUUACACGGAAACACAUAGAAGGAGAUAAAAUAUAAUGGGCCUUGGGCCGGUUAUGGAGUCCAUCCAUGAUUUAUAUCAUUUUCGAAAUUGACCCAAUAGAAACGGAGAAGACCACUUAAAAGGAGAUAAUGAAUUGGGCUGGUGCUAGCUAAGCCCAAAUAAUCGAUAUAUUGUUUGACUAAAAAAGGCCUCGAGGCCCCUAACUGAGAGUCUGAGAUUGUGAACGGUUGAGAUAAAAGAUUAAACAAUCCAACGACUAUUCUUAAUUUAACGUUUUAAUUUAAAAUUUGAAAAUUAGAAACCGUAACCGGCGGCGAUGGAGGCGGCGAUAGGGUUAUAGAACCCGACCAUGAGGAUUUUUGACCGGAGACUCUUGAUUCGGUUGAUUCUUGCGUCGGAUUGGAGCUUCAGUGUGUGGAUCUAUGGGUAUCAAAGGUUUUUCAAGGUUACGGAGUGGUUCUCGAGGAGGGUUGAUGAUCGGAGACUUUUAUUUAGGUCGUUUAUCGGGUUGGAUGGGAAUCCCAGAGGGUGGAUUCAUGGGGAUCGAUGGAUUCUAAAGGCUACGGAGUCGCUGUCGAUGAGAUUCGGUGACCUUUGUUUAGGAUCAAUGAUUGUUCUCCAGUCUAUGAGGAUCUCGAUUCAGGAAGAAUCAGAAGUUUGCUGUGUUUUCCGGUUUGGUUUCAAGGCAAAGCCGUGGGGUCUGGUCCCGGGGAGAGAUAUGAAGGAAUACGGGCCUAUUUUGGGGUUUUCGAUUGAUGUAUUGUUGGCCAUGGGUCUGUUUGCAAUGGUUGAUAAGGUUUUUUCGAUGCCAGAGGUAGGAAAGGAAGCCUCAGGGAAGAUUCCGUCGAGGGUUUUGAGAAUCUCAGGGAAGGUUAUGUCAAGGUUUUUGAGAAUUUCAGGUUUUAAGCUGGUUUUUGCUUUCCAAAUUCUGAAAGUACACUCUUCCAGGAGUGGUAAGGAAUCUGCAGUUGAGGUGAUAACGAAGAACUCAUCCUGUUUUCAAGUUUUUGAUGGGAUUCAGAGUCUCGGUCUUGAGCCAACCAUGAUUAGGUUGGAUUCGGUUGAAUUGGGGUUCUGGUUUGGAUUAUCACGGUUGACUCAAGGAUCGGAGAGAGAAACGAAAUCGCAAUUAAAAGCGGUUUUGAGUAGAACCCGAUCUGAUUUAGAUGUUCAAGGGAAGGUUUGAAAUGGUUUUGGUUAAGAAGGUUUGGAUCUGAGAUGUCUCUUUGUGAAGGUUCCUUCUUGGCUUGUAUGGUGGUUAUAAUUCAGAAUUGGUGGUCUUGUAUGGUAAGUCCGGCGGCUUUGUGCUCAAUCUGGUGGUGGUGAGUGGUUGAUUAAUGGGUUUAAUCUAGCUUCUGGGUAUUUAGAAGUUGAUGGAUUGAUUUUGGCAAAGAAAGAGACCAAGAUGGAGAGUUCAGACAUGAUGGUUCCCGGUGGUGGUCGCUGUUUGAUUCAGUUAGUUUUCCGAUUGUAUUGGGAGUUUGAGUUUUUGGAUUUGAGUUUCAAUGGGAUACAAUUUUUAGAUUGCGAUGUGUUGUUGUCGGAAUUUGAGUUUCUUUUAGUCACAAUUUGGUUUUGGGCUGCGGAUCAAAGAUACUUUCGGUUGAAAACAAUUGAAAAGAGACGGUCAGAUCGAGGAAUUUUUAACAAAUGGUUGUCAAAGGAUAAUAGUGGGAGGGUGUUGAUUUCUCUUCCAAGGGCUAUUGUGGGUGGUCAGAAUUUUCCUAAAAAGUAUGAUGUUGGUCGAUUGUGGUUGGAUUUUGAGUGUAUGGAGUUGAGGUUCAGUGGUUGUAACAAACGGUUUUACUACGGUUUUAUUUCCGGUUUUUUAUGGUUGGUUGUGGAUACUAUAAGGGUUAAAAUAUCUAGAUUAAAUUAUGAUUGGAUUUCUUUAAAGAAGAAUCAAAGGAAUGAAGGCCAUAACUCGACGUACUAUGGUACGGUAAAGGACUUCAUGGGUGGACGCAACCCACCAAUACACAAGGUUGAUAAAUGAAGGUUUUGAGUUGGAAUUGUCAAUGACUUGGGAAUAAGGCAACUAUCGGUUAUUUUAGGGAUAUAUGGAAACAACACCGGCCAGACUUUUUAUUUCUUUCGGAAACAAAACAACCUUCUUGGUUCAUGGAAAAAUUUAUCGGUCAUUUUGGUUACAAAAAUUUAAAAACGGUUGAUCCUAUUGGUUGUAGUGGCGGUUUAGCCCUUUAUUAUAAUAAUGAUUUUAAUGCUUCAAUUAUUUAUGAAAGUAAUCGGUUAAUUGAUGUUGAAGCGGUGA
RNAcentral lists this long non-coding RNA (35564 nucleotides) under Arabidopsis lyrata. RNAcentral's name for it is "long non-coding RNA (ALYR_LNC001725)". Lineage: Eukaryota; Viridiplantae; Streptophyta; Magnoliopsida; Brassicales; Brassicaceae. The record is from RNAcentral.